RNAcentral lists this long non-coding RNA (780 nucleotides) under Homo sapiens (human). RNAcentral describes it as "HSALNT0367176". The record is from RNAcentral. Lineage: Eukaryota; Metazoa; Chordata; Mammalia; Primates; Hominidae.
CAUAAAUGCGUUAAUUCACUGCUGUAUUUGUAGAGCAAUAUGGGAGGUUAGAAUGGAUCAUCAUAGGCUCAGGGUCGAAGGGAGAGGAAAAGAAGGAAUUCAGUCUUUUAACCUGCAAGAAAACUCACUCAUGCAGACAGAAGUCCAACAGCAAACAGCACACCAGGGUUGCGACUGAAAUGAAGAGCAGUUGAUCAUUAUUCACCCUGUAUGAAAAUGAUACGACCUAAAAGUUUAACUGAGUAGUACAGUAUUUUGUUUUCUAAAGCCGGAGGUGGGUUGCUGGAAAACAAUGCGGUGUUUGCUGCAGGCUGAGAGGAGGACUGCGAUGUACUACCACCACAGCUCUAACAGGGCACAGAAGAGGACCUCAGUAGAAGACUACAGGUUUCUCCAUGGAGCAGCACAGAGGGUGAACAAAGACCAAGAAAAGCUGUUCAAUACACAAGAAAAUAACACACACACUGUUUCCACGGUAUCUCACGGCAGACAUAACUUCCUAAGCCCACCCACAUCUGCACAGGAACAAAAUUGGAGCUGAAGAAGCAAAAGAGUAAGCUGCACCCUUCUUAUUUCUGGUCUCUAGAGCUGGGAUUCUUGACUAACGAUGGAAGGGGAAGCAGUGAGAUAUGAAAUGGAUAUGAGAUUAAAGUUUCCAGCAGGACUGAAUUUUAAUAACUGAAAGGACUGGAAAGUGAUGCAGUCUACUCAAGAUAUUAAGAUAUGGAAAAUAGAGAUUUAACAGAGCAUAAUUAAAAGCAGAGUUUGGAGAAAAUUAAA